Long non-coding RNA from Arabidopsis thaliana (thale cress), 243 nucleotides. RefSeq annotates it as other RNA. NCBI's taxonomy places the organism in Eukaryota, Viridiplantae, Streptophyta, Magnoliopsida, Brassicales, Brassicaceae. The record is from RefSeq. The transcript has a single exon.
ACCAAAUGUGUCAGUAUCCGCUAUUACACACCUAGUUGUCAACAUUCACUACAAAUAAUACGGACUUUAACGUCGGUUAACUUAGGUGUUAACGUCGGUUUAAGGCAUCCAAUAAAACUGACGUUAUGUUUCUCUUUCCUCGUUUUGUCGACCAAAGAAACUGACCCUAAAUGUAAAAAACAAAAUUUACUACUAGUAAAAAAUGCCAACAUACAACUGACGCCUUAGUAAUGACAUUUUAUU